GCCAGGUGUCGUGGUGCAUGCCUGUAAUCCCAGUAGCUUGGGAGGUUGAGGCAAGAGGAUCUCGAGUUCAAAGCCAGCCUCAGUAACUUUGUGAGGCCCUAAGAAACUCAGUGAGACCCUGUCUCUA
Molecule: small RNA, 127 nt
Filed under: Marmota monax (woodchuck)
Lineage: Eukaryota; Metazoa; Chordata; Mammalia; Rodentia; Sciuridae
Source: RNAcentral